CAGAUAAAUCCCAGGUUUGGUAUUCAAAUUGUAAAUGGAUAUUACAAUAUUAACCUUCAUUUAAUAGUUUAUAAAUUAAUUGCAAAGGUAAAAAUGUACAGUUAAUAUGCAGUAGGUUUUACAGAUUUCAGUGACUGACAACAACUUACUGCCUCGUCCCUUUGAACCGCCGGAGGCUCUCCCCUUGAUGAGCUGUGCGGCACCUGGUUUAACCUGCUUCCCUGAAGGUCGGCUUAAACCUGCCCAUGCACAAGAUGACCAACACAGGCCAGAGCAGGACUCAGAAGAGUGAGGAUCCAGAACGCACAUACACCCUGCCCAUGCACAAGAUGACCAACACAGACCUGAGCAGGAUUCAGAAGAGUAAGGAUCCAGAAUGCACUUCAAACACCUAGGAACAUCAACUGCAGUAUGCUGAAGAAUCCGCUGAAGAACUUGAGGAUAAUGCUCAAGCUGAGCAAUCACCCCAGGCAGCUUUCAGCCUACCCAGGCUCAAGAUCAUCAACACGGAUCUGGUCAACCACUACCUACACCUAGAAACAUCAACUGCAGAGUGCUGAAGAACUUCAGGAUGAUGCUCAAGCUGACCAAUCGCACCAGGCAGCUGUUUCAGCCAACGCAUGCUCAAGAUCAGCACGGAUCUGAGCGGGAAUCAAGACUGAGGAGAUCCAGAAAGCACUUCGUACACCUAGAAACAUCAACUGCAGAGUCCUGAACUUCAGGAUAAUGCUCAAGCUGAACAAUCGCACGAGGCAGCUGUUUCAGCCAACGCAUGCUCAAGAUCGUCAACACGGAUCUGAUCGGGAAUCAAGACUGAGGAGAUCCAGAAAGCACUUUGUACACCUAUUAACAACUGCAGUGCUGAAGAAUCUUCUGAAGAACUUGAAGAUAAUGCUCAAGCUGAACCCUUAAGCCAGGCAGCUGUUUGUUUCAGCCUCCCCAGGCUCAAGAUCAUCCACACGAAUCUGAGAUUUGGACAAGCACUUCAUACACCUAGGAACAUCAACUGCAGAGUGCUGAAGAACGUGAGGAUAAUGCUUAAGCUGAACAAUCGCACCAGGCAGCUGUUUCAGCCUGCUCAAGAUCAUCAACACGGGUCUGAGACUUCACUUGUGAACAUCAACUGAGGGCUGAGGAAGAAUCCUCUGAAGAACUUGAGGAUCAAGCUGAACCUUUACUCCAGGAAUCUGAAGUGAAGAGCUCCAGAAAAGCACUUUUCACACAAACAUCAAAACCAAGGUACUGAGGCCCAAGAAGAUUCCUGGAAAGCAGCCAAACCUGUCAUGAAUGAAUAAAUAUUUGAUCUCAAA
This is a long non-coding RNA of Eleginops maclovinus (Patagonian blennie), 1310 nucleotides long. RefSeq lists it as uncharacterized. NCBI's taxonomy places the organism in Eukaryota, Metazoa, Chordata, Actinopteri, Perciformes, Eleginopidae. The record is from RefSeq and is a predicted model, not a curated record. The transcript has 10 exons.